Molecule: ribosomal RNA, 537 nt
Filed under: uncultured bacterium
Lineage: Bacteria
Description: bacterial SSU rRNA
Rfam family: Bacterial small subunit ribosomal RNA
Source: RNAcentral
AAUAGAUACCCAGGUAGUCCACGCCGUAAACGAUGAGUGCUAAGUGUUAGAGGGUUUCCGCCCUUUAGUGCUGAAGUUAACGCAUUAAGCACUCCGCCUGGGGAGUACGGUCGCAAGACUGAAACUCAAAGGAAUUGACGGGGGCCCGCACAAGCGGUGGAGCAUGUGGUUUAAUUCGAAGCAACGCGAAGAACCUUACCAGGUCUUGACAUCCUCUGACAACCCUAGAGAUAGGGCUUUCCCUUCGGGGACAGAGUGACAGGUGGUGCAUGGUUGUCGUCAGCUCGUGUCGUGAGAUGUUGGGUUAAGUCCCGCAACGAGCGCAACCCUUGAUCUUAGUUGCCAGCAUUUAGUUGGGCACUCUAAGGUGACUGCCGGUGACAAACCGGAGGAAGGUGGGGAUGACGUCAAAUCAUCAUGCCCCUUAUGACCUGGGCUACACACGUGCUACAAUGGACGGUCAAAGAGUCGCAAGACCGCGAGGUGGAGCUAAUCUCAUAAAACCGUUCUCAGUUCGGAUUGUAGGCUGCAACUCCG